AGCGGCGGAUGGGUGAGUAACACGUGGGGAACCUGCCCCUAAGUCUGGGAUACCAUUUGGAAACAGGUGCUAAUACCGGAUAAUAAAGCAGAUCGCAUGAUCAGCUUUUGAAAGGCGGCGUAAGCUGUCGCUAAGGGAUGGCCCCGCGGUGCAUUAGCUAGUUGGUAAGGUAACGGCUUACCAAGGCGACGAUGCAUAGCCGAGUUGAGAGACUGAUCGGCCACAUUGGGACUGAGACACGGCCCAAACUCCUACGGGAGGCAGCAGUAGGGAAUCUUCCACAAUGGACGCAAGUCUGAUGGAGCAACGCCGCGUGAGUGAAGAAGGUUUUCGGAUCGUAAAGCUCUGUUGUUGGUGAAGAAGGAUAGAGGUAGUAACUGGCCUUUAUUUGACGGUAAUCAACCAGAAAGUCACGGCUAACUACGUGCCAGCAGCCGCGGUAAUACGUAGGUGGCAAGCGUUGUCCGGAUUUAUUGGGCGUAAAGCGAGCGCAGGCGGAAAAAUAAGUCUAAUGUGAAAGCCCUCGGCUUAACCGAGGAACUGCAUCGGAAACUGUUUUUCUUGAGUGCAGAAGAGGAGAGUGGAACUCCAUGUGUAGCGGUGGAAUGCGUAGAUAUAUGGAAGAACACCAGUGGCGAAGGCGGCCUCUCUGGUCUGCAACUGACGCUGAGGCUCGAAAGCAUGGGUAGCGAACAGGAUUAGAUACCCUGGUAGUCCAUGCCGUAAACGAUGAGUGCUAAGUGU
RNAcentral lists this ribosomal RNA (744 nucleotides) under uncultured bacterium. Its description in RNAcentral is "bacterial SSU rRNA". It matches the Rfam family "Bacterial small subunit ribosomal RNA", at positions 94 to 823 of the family's 1533-position model. The record is from RNAcentral.